This is a long non-coding RNA of Zea mays, 178 nucleotides long. RefSeq lists it as uncharacterized. The transcript has 2 exons. The record is from RefSeq and is a predicted model, not a curated record. Lineage: Eukaryota; Viridiplantae; Streptophyta; Magnoliopsida; Poales; Poaceae.
CACCAAGUACAAAGCAUACCAGUAUAUUUUGUGGGUUGUGGCACUCGUCUUGCUGUUAGUUGGGUUUGUGAUUUCACUGGUGAUGCUUUUCAAAGGGAAGAACGGGAACGAUGGCUGCCAUUGGUGCCACUACCUGAACUGCGUGCCAACAUCCAAGUGGAAGUGUAACACCUAGACA